AAACUUACUCGGCGUAGGAGAUACCGUGAUCAUGAAGGCGGUUCUCCCGGAGUGUAGCUCAAUCAUUGCACUUCGAUUGAGUUCACCUCCGCGAUAUUCCGAAUGGGAAUUGUUCGUGCGUGCAAUUUUUGGAAGCCGGGAUUGGAGAUAGCUCCAUCCCGAC
Lucilia sericata (common green bottle fly) is the source of this 163-nucleotide small nuclear RNA. RefSeq annotates it as U1 spliceosomal RNA. The record is from RefSeq and is a predicted model, not a curated record. The transcript has a single exon. NCBI's taxonomy places the organism in Eukaryota, Metazoa, Arthropoda, Insecta, Diptera, Calliphoridae.